UGGGGAAUAUUGGACAAUGGGCGAAAGCCUGAUCCAGCCAUGCCGCGUGUGUGAAGAAGGCCUUUUGGUUGUAAAGCACUUUAAGUGGGGAGGAAAAGCUUAUGGUUAAUACCCAUAAGCCCUGACGUUACCCACAGAAUAAGCACCGGCUAACUCUGUGCCAGCAGCCGCGGUAAUACAGAGGGUGCAAGCGUUAAUCGGAAUUACUGGGCGUAAAGCGCGCGUAGGUGGUUAUUUAAGUCAGAUGUGAAAGCCCCGGGCUUAACCUGGGAACUGCAUCUGAUACUGGAUAACUAGAGUAGGUGAGAGGGGAGUAGAAUUCCAGGUGUAGCGGUGAAAUGCGUAGAGAUCUGGAGGAAUACCGAUGGCGAAGGCAGCUCCCUGGCAUCAUACUGACACUGAGGUGCGAAAGCGUGGGUAGCAAACAGGAUUAGAUACCCUGGUAGUCCACGCCGUAAACGAUGUCUACCAGUCGUUGGGUCUUUUAAAGACUUAGUGACGCAGUUAACGCAAUAAGUAGACCGCCUGAGGAGUACGGCCGCAAGGUUA
RNAcentral lists this ribosomal RNA (549 nucleotides) under uncultured bacterium. RNAcentral's name for it is "bacterial SSU rRNA". It matches the Rfam family "Bacterial small subunit ribosomal RNA", at positions 355 to 896 of the family's 1533-position model. The record is from RNAcentral.